AGUCGCUGGUGAACAGCGGAGGGAUCAUUA
Molecule: ribosomal RNA, 30 nt
Filed under: Volutella sp. MSX_58801
Lineage: Eukaryota; Fungi; Ascomycota; Sordariomycetes; Hypocreales; Nectriaceae
Description: partial 18S ribosomal RNA
Source: RNAcentral